This 164-nucleotide ribosomal RNA is filed under the name Robinsonia berteroi. RNAcentral describes it as "5.8S ribosomal RNA". It matches the Rfam family "5.8S ribosomal RNA". From Rfam's summary of the family: 5.8S ribosomal RNA (5.8S rRNA) is a component of the large subunit of the eukaryotic ribosome. It is transcribed by RNA polymerase I as part of the 45S precursor that also contains 18S and 28S rRNA. Functionally, it is thought that 5.8S rRNA may be involved in ribosome translocation. Lineage: Eukaryota; Viridiplantae; Streptophyta; Magnoliopsida; Asterales; Asteraceae. The record is from RNAcentral.
UAAACGACUCUCGGCAACGGAUAUCUCGGCUCAUGCAUCGAUGAAGAACGUAGCAAAAUGCGAUACUUGGUGUGAAUUGCAGAAUCCCGUGAACCAUCGAGUUUUUGAACGCAAGUUGCGCCCAAAGCCUUUUGGCUGAGGGCACGUCUGCCUGGGCGUCACAC